This 485-nucleotide ribosomal RNA is filed under the name uncultured bacterium. RNAcentral's name for it is "partial 16S ribosomal RNA". It matches the Rfam family "Bacterial small subunit ribosomal RNA", at positions 38 to 507 of the family's 1533-position model. The record is from RNAcentral.
UGGAAAGGGGGAGGGAUGCUUAACACAUGCAGGUCGAACGGUAACAGGUGUAGCAAUACAUGCUGACGAGUGGCGGACGGGUGAGGAAUGCUUGGGAAUCUGCCUGUUAGUGGGGGACAACCCGGGGAAACUCGGGCUAAUACCGCAUACGCUCUACGGAGGAAAGCGGGGGACCGUAAGGCCUCGCGCUAACAGAUGAGCCCAAGUCGGAUUAGCUAGUUGGUGGGGUAAAAGCCUACCAAGGCGACGAUCCGUAGCUGGUCUGAGAGGACGAUCAGCCACACUGGGACUGAGACACGGCCCAGACUCCUACGGGAGGCAGCAGUGGGGAAUAUUGGACAAUGGGGGCAACCCUGAUCCAGCAAUGCCGCGUGUGUGAAGAAGGCCUGCGGGUUGUAAAGCACUUUUGGCAGGGAUGAAAAGCACUGGAUUAAUAACCCAGUGUGUUGACCUAACCUGCAGAAGAAGCACCGGCUAACUCUGUG